Long non-coding RNA from Limulus polyphemus (Atlantic horseshoe crab), 462 nucleotides. RefSeq lists it as uncharacterized. The transcript is spliced from 2 exons. NCBI's taxonomy places the organism in Eukaryota, Metazoa, Arthropoda, Merostomata, Xiphosura, Limulidae. The record is from RefSeq and is a predicted model, not a curated record.
GCAGUUGUGUCACAUGUUAACAAAAUAUUGCAACACACUGAACGUAAUGCGAUGUAAGAAAUACAGUAAACGCCUGUGUUCAGAGUUAAUGAAUUCGGAAAAUAAAUCUACUGUAAAAUAAGCGGUCAAGUCAUGCCAUCCAAUCGUAAUUACAAAAACUGUGGCUGGACCCGUCAGUAGACACGAAACAUGACGUGUGCCAUUGUACGUCUACCGGAACGCAUACCCAGUCCAUUCUGCUGGGAGAGAGGGUAUUCUGCAAAUGAGGUGAAACAGAAUGCUACAGUUAAGUUUCGAGCAUCUUCUAUAUUGGGGUUAAUAACUAACAGCUUUAACAUUUGCUGUAUUAAGAUCAAAGGCCAACAUCUUAAAUAUUUACUAUUCAAGUUGUUAUAAGUGUUCAAUUAUUUUGUCACAUAUCAGUAUGCUCAGUGUGUCACUAAAUAAACUGUUUUCGAAGGA